CCAAUAGCGUAUAUUAAAGUUGUUGCAGUUAAAAAGCUCGUAGUUGAAUUUCGGGAUCAAAUUGUCGGUCGUGCCUCGGUACGUACUGGCGUUAUUGGUUCCUCCCUUCUGAAGAACCGCGAUGUCAUUAAUUUGGUGUCGCGGGGAAUCAGGACUGUUACUUUGAAAAAAUUAGAGUGUUUAAAGCAGGCUCGCGCUUGAAUACAUUAGCAUGGAAUAAUGAAAUAGGACGUUUGAUUCUAUUUUGUUGGUUUCUAGGAUCGACGUAAUGAUUAAUAGGGAUAGUUGGGGGCAUUAGUAUUCAAUUGUCAGAGGUGAAAUUCUUGGAUUUAUUGAAGACUAACUACUGCGAAAGCAUUUGCCAAGGAUGUUUUCAUUAAUCAAGAACGAAAGUUAGGGGAUCGAAGACGAUCAGAUACCGUCGUAGUCUUAACCAUAAACUAUGCCGACUAGGGAUCGGAUGAUGUUAAUUUUUUAAUGACUCAUACGGCGCCUUACG
Molecule: unclassified non-coding RNA, 499 nt
Filed under: uncultured Glomus
Lineage: Eukaryota; Fungi; Glomeromycota; Glomeromycetes; Glomerales; Glomeraceae
Description: SSU rRNA
Rfam family: Eukaryotic small subunit ribosomal RNA
Source: RNAcentral